This 15112-nucleotide long non-coding RNA is filed under the name Vitis vinifera (wine grape). RNAcentral's name for it is "long non-coding RNA (VVIN_LNC000035)". The record is from RNAcentral. Lineage: Eukaryota; Viridiplantae; Streptophyta; Magnoliopsida; Vitales; Vitaceae.
UUUUUUUCUUUUUUUUUUUUCUUUUUUUUUCUUGUUUUUUUUUUUUAUUUAACCCUAACCUAAAAUCGAAAUAUUCCAAGCAAUUUUUUUUUAUUUUUUUAUUUAAUAAAACUUAAGAUCUCCCAAAUUCCAAUACUAAAAUCAAAAUAUUAAAUUUUCACUAUUUGAUAUUAAAACGAAUUAAAAAAAUAAUCUAACCCUAAUCUAGAUUUGGGGUUUUCCAAAAAAAUAUAUCUAAUGCGUUUGAAAUUACUCAAUGAAUCUAAAAUAUUAAACUAGGGGUUAGAAUCUUACCUAUAGAGAUCUGUUCUUCAACCCUGAAAUCAUCUUACCUAUAGAGAUCUGUUCUUCAACCCUGAAAUCUGACUCCAACCUUACGUUCUCUGGAAUUCUGCGAACAGGAACUCUAUUCAGAAAAGAAGGGAAAGAAUAAAAUUUCUAAUUUAUACCUAGGGUAUUUAUUCGUAAAAUUACAUUUUUACCCCUCUUCCACUUUAUUAAAUUAAUUAAUCAAUUAAUUAAAUUAUUAAUAACAAUUUCCUAAAUUACCCUUAAAAGAAAAUGUCUGGGGUUACAAUUAACGUACGUAGUUAGCUUACAAUCAAGAAGCUAGAUCUCCGGUGCUGUCUCCAACAAUAAUAUGAUGGAAAAGGCUUAUCCCGUCUUUCUCUGUGUUCUCUUGAUUUCAGUCCUCUUCUUGCCAUCCACAGCAGCUGGAAGAGCACUGCUUCAGACAGCUCAAACGGGUAUGUAUAACUCAAUAACUCCAAAACCAUGAUUUGUGAUUAAAAUUUCUUGUACUCGCCCAUCCAGUGAUGGACCUGCCGGUUUUGGAAUGUUGGUAAAGCACUUUUUAUAUGAUUCAUGUGUUAUGGCAGAGGGAGAGAGUGGAAACCACGGCGGAAAUGAUGGGAGUAAAAUGGGAGUACCACCCAGUCACUCCAGCACUGCCCCCUCCAGAACUGGAGUUUCAUCUCCUUCCAAACCCACCCCCGGCAGGAUUUCUUAUGGUGAGUAAUUCAUCAUCCCAAUUUUCCAGUUUUGUUGCCAAUUCAGUUUAACUCUAUCAGCAAAUAUAUGUCAAGUCAAAAACCAAUAUUUAUAUUUAUUAUUAUAUUAACUCAAAUACCUCUGACCUACUAUAUACAGCCGCACUACAAAGAAAACCGUACGCACGUCCAUGCAAGUAUUAUAAUAGAUGCAAACGUGGUAACUGAAGAAGUCCAAGCAAACUGGUGAAUCCAGAAAAGGAAAUCUCUAGACAGUUAUCACUUAAGCUUGCUGGUUUCUUGCUGUUUGAAAAUUGUUGCUAUGUUUCAUAGCUCCCUCUGGGACGAUGAUAAUAUAUAGUUGCAUUUUAGAUCAUCCAUCCACUUUUUGAGACUCAUUCACCUUACCUACUGUUACAAAAUUAUGCAUGUAAGUUAUGAUUAAAUUACAAUGAAGUGGUGGAGAGAGGGGAAAGGAUGAGUAUCAUGAAUCAUGAUUUAGUAAAACCCCCAGUCUUCUAAUAUUCGUUUAGCAAAAAAUGAUCAUUUUGUCUCAAAAACAAAAGAGACGAGGCCCAAAAACGGUGGGCGCGUAUGGUCGGGAGUUGGGACCACCUUGACUCCUGACUGCUACUCUGAGCCAGCCCACAAUUUGGGCAAAAUGGGUCGUAAUAGCGAUGGACAAAUUAAUUAAACUGUCUCCUCUUCCAUGCAUUUAAAAAUAUGAAAAAUCAUUUAAAAAAUUUUGACAUCAUACAUAACUGCAGAGUAUAUCUUAAGAAAAAAAUAAAACGAAGAAAUUAUUUUCCAUAUUUUAAUUUCAAACAAAAUUGUUCCCGAAAUUAAUUAAAACUUGUUUCUCAAAAACAGUUUUGAAAGAAAUAUUUUUGAAAAUAUUUCCAAAAAGUACCUUAGAUUUACUUCAUUUUCUAAUGUAUUGGCAUUUUUAUGGUCUGGGAUGUCUUACGGGUAUAUCAUCGUUGGUUGGAAAUUAAGGCUGGUGAUAUUGACCCAAUUGACCUGGUGUCAAGUCUUGGAACAGGUUUGCUCCACUGCAUAGCGUGUGGACCGGAAAACUUUAUUUCUUAAUUAAAAAAUUAUAAUGAAUAUAUUAAAUAAGAUAAAAGAGAAAUCUUGCUAUUACAAUUUUUUUUUUUUUUAUAAGAUUCGAACGUUGACUUCCUUAUAUUUCAGUUCAAAUAAUUGUUACAUUUUUCAAAAAUUUUACUUUUUAGUUUUUUAAAAUCUUUUUUUAAAAGAAAAUUUUUAAAAAUUUUCUAUCUUUGAAUACUUUUUAAAGAAAUAUGCAAGUUAGUGUUCAUAAUUGUAUAAAGUUUAUUUGGAAAUCUUUAAUUUUGUUUUUCAAAUUUUUACUCAUUCAUUGAUAAAAAGUAUGGGGAUUAUCAUUUGAAAUUAGUAUAAAAAUGAAAAUAAUAUUAAAUUUGAUUAAAAGUUUAUUAUUUAAUUUAAUUCGUAUAAGAGACAAGAAAAGUCUUUUUAAAAGUAGUGAUAAGACGAAGAGUGAUGAUUUUGAGUCAUUAUUAUUAGAGGGGCAAAAUACUUCCCCGAUAGGUUUUGAGAUAAGUGUGAAGGUGUAUCAUAUUUCUAGACAUACAAACUUAUCCUCAUGUCUUAAAAUAUGAGUGUAUUUUGCCACUAAUAAUUUAUUUUCACCACAAAUAUUAAUCAUCUUUAAAAGAUGGUUUUAGUAAUAAAAAAAAUUCAUUGAUAAAAUUAAUUAAUUACGAACUUGUUGCAAAAAAAAUUUCAUGGCAAAUAUGUAGUAUAUUUAUUGUACUAUUUUAUGCUUAAAUCAUAAUGAAGGACUUCUCUAAAUUCAUGUAAGUCUUAUUUUUUAAUUAUAAAAAUGAAGUUUUUAAAACUUUUUCAAAGUUUUGCAAAAAGAUUUAAAAUGAAAAAAAAAAACUUUAUCAUUACUUUAUAAGAAGUAAUCAUAAGAGAGAAUUUAAAAAUUAUGAUGUUAAAACCUUUUGCAAUGCGCAUGUGGUAUGGAAACUUGCGAGAAAAUUCCCGAAUCACCAUAGUAAAAGUCUUGGAAAAGAUCGGAGAGAUGUGGUGUACUGUUUUUCCAUUUUUAAACCUAAAAAGGUCAAACCAAACCACACGUAAUUUUUUUUAAACACCCUCCUUUAAUUUUCAUUAACCUUGAACAUGCGUCUUGAAGAGAUCACAUUGCUCUAUAUAUGGCUAACAAAUUACAAUCAAGAAGCUAGAUCUGUGGUUCUUUCUCCUACAAGAAUAUGAUGGAAAAGGCUUCGGCGUUCUCUUGAUUUCAGUCCUCUUCUUGCCAUCAACAGCAGCUGAAAGAGCACUGCCUCGCUCAGACAGCUCAAACGGGUAUGUAUUACUCAUACUCCAGAACCAUGAUUUGUGAUUAAAAUCUCUUGUACUUGCUAAGAGCCUCAGAAGCUAGCAGUGGUGUUUAUGAGGUACUUACUAAAUACCCAUCCGGUGGUGGACCUGCUGGUUUUGGAAUGGUAAAGCAUUUUUGAUAUAAUAUUUCAUGUGUUAUGGCAGAGGACGAGGGUGGACACCAUGGCAAAAAUGAUGGGAAUAAAAUUGGAAUAAUAGGUAGUCACUCGAACACUGCCCCCUCCAGAACUGGCGUAUCAUAUCCUUCGGAACCCCAUCCCCAUCCGAAAACGUGUAGAUUAUAGUGAGUAACUCAUUAUCUCAAACUUCCUGUUUUGUGUGCAACCUAUCCUUAUAUUAAACACUAACUCAUUAUCGUAUCUCAAAGAUGAAUUUUGGUUUGUACCAGUAUUGGGAAACCUUGUGAGGAAAUGGAAACCAUCCCUGGGAAGCACCUUGAAAUCCAGUGUCGUCCAAUAUCUGUUUCCAUCAACUACAAGUCUUCUCAGUUUAAUCCUCGAUAUUUCUAGAUUAUUUUGUAGAUUUAUGUCACCCACUCAAUUAAAUCUUAUCUGAAAAUAUUUCAAGUCAAAAAUCAAUUUUUUUUUUUUUAAUUAUUUCAACUCAAAUAUCUCUGUUUGAUCUACCACAGAUGCCAUGCCAUGCUACAGUUACCAGGAAUGCAAAGCAAACUGAAGAAGUUGAAGCAAAGUGAAGAAUCCAGAAGAGGAACUCUGAGUAUAAACGCUUGUGACUUAUGUUUGUAGGCUGUAAUUUUGUUUACAAAGUGGAAGUAAAUGUUCACAAAUAAGUUUAAAAAAAAAAACUAUAAAAACACCAUGUUUCCUGUUUUGUUGUUGUAACACAUAUUUUCCCCUUUUUUUUAAUAAUAGAAAAAAUGUAUUAAAAAACUUUUUUUUUUAUAUGAAAAUUUAAAUAGUAAAUAGAAAAAAAUUUUAAGAUAACAGCAAAAACAUAAAUUUAUAUAUUUUUCUUUAAAAAACAAAAAAUAUAUAUAUGAUAUAAUAUAAUUUAAUAUUUUUCUUUAAAAUAUAAAAAAUAAAUAUUAUUAUAUAAAAUAAUAUGUAUUAUAAAUAUUAUAUAAAAAAUGUAAAUCAGGUUUGAGUUAGGUUCAAAUUGUUUGAACCUUGGCCUGAGUCCACCUCAAAUUGAACUUAGGUUGAAAAAACCUAACCCAAGUCUAAUUCAAGUAUUGAAAACGUUAGUCCAAGCCUAUCCAAGCAUCCAGUUGGACUCAGGUUGAAUCAGGUCAACCCACCCAAGUUGUAACCCCAAGUGGAUAGUUUUUACCUAAAUUUAGGAAAUCUGAUAUUAAAAUGGUUCGCCAAGGAAGAAAAGUGACAUUUGAGCUACUAAAAGGAAAUUUAUUAUUUUUAAAAAUAAUUAACAACGGUUGUGUGAACAAGCUCUAGUACUUCGUCAUCCACAAGUGAUUGCAAUAAUUUAGAAAUAAAAAACCAUCCAUACUCAAAAAGUACACAAAAUUUUAACACAAUUCUAACAAUCAUACUUAGACUAAUGGAUGAAAAAAAAUCAUUUACUAUAUAAUAAAGAAUUUUCAAAAAAUAAAAAAUAUAUUAACUAUUAAACCCUAAAACAUAUAAAGUUUUUCUAUUUUGUAUUUACAAUUUAAAUCAUGAGUCUUUACUCCAUGGAAUAUCCCUUACUCCACUGAACAUUCUAUUUUUCUUCAUAUUUUACAUAAAACACAGUAGCUUUUAUACAAAAAGUAUAAAACUACUUUAUCCUUAAAAAUUCUUAUUUAAGGUUGUAAAAAUGCUUAAAUAUUUAUUUUUUAAAACAAUUCUUAAAAAUUAUUAUCUUUUUAAUAUAAAUAUCUAAUAGUUGUUAUAUUUUGUAUAUAAAUUAUUACUAUUAAAAAAAAAAAGUGAAUCCAAAUGAUACUUAAAUGUACAGCUUGCUAAACCAAUGAACUUUUAGGAGUGUACAGGAUAAAGACCAUUGAAUUAAUGGAAGGUCUUAAUCCAUUAAAGUACUUAAAAUUUUAGAAUCCUGUCCUCUAAGCCACGGCUCUGCAUGAACAAUUAAACUAAACAUUAACAAUCAAUCGAAACCAUGCAUGCAAGCACAAACUUGUUGACAAAUAUUUAUGUUUUAUUUCAUUAGGCCAACCCUAGUAAUUAGUAAGCGCAGUGUUACAUUGACAACACCUAAAAAAGCAUCCAACCACAAACUAAUAUUUCAUGGCUUCAUAUAGUUGAGCCCCUCACACCACCCUUAUAUGCCUUCACCAACUGUCAGUGCUUCGCUGCUGAUUUCCCACCUUUUGCCUAUAUAAUCAUACAUUACAAUGAUAGUGAUUAGACCAUUUAUUUCAACCCUCAGUAUUAAUUUAUUUUCCUACUUACAUGGGACAUUGAGAUCAUAACCCAUAUCAAUUUGAAAAAUUCCAUACCUAUGUAUCGAUUUUGCUAUAUGUACAGAAAGGAUAAUCCUUUUAAGAUGUGAAUCAAUAGUAUAAGAUCAAAUUUAGUUAAAAACCUAGAGCAUGCCAUAUGUGGGUGCGACAUAUUUACCUUCUUUUUGGGCUCCUGAGACUUCUGGGCGGGCUUCUUUGGACCUGACUUGGAGGUUGGAGCUUUGGCUGGGCCAUCACCAGCCUUGGCAGGCUCCUUCUUCACGGGGCCGAAGAGUUGACUGCCAGCAGGUUUCUCAGCCUUCAACGAUGCCAUUCUCCCCAAGAAGUUAGAGAAAUGCUAGCUUAUCUCACUUGCUGGACUCAACUGUAAUCUCCUCCCAGACGUAGCACCAUAUAUAUAGCUGAGUUCCAAGACUGUGGAGAGGAAUUUGCAUCACAAUUAUGUUUAAAAGAUUUGAAGGGAAUGGUGCCAUUUAAUCUCAAGGGAAUAGGAAUAACUCCCUGCCACAAGCACAAGCACCAGCACCAGCACCAGCACUUUGUAUCAGAUGCUCUACUUACCCAUAUUCUUCACUCAUCUUAUUGGCCAAUCUUGAAGCAUAGCAUCUUUCAAUCUCUAUGACCAUUUCCUUCAUUAUUCGAUCGGUUUUAUCCCAAUUGGAUGAUUUUAUGACGUGGGAAAUUUUCCUUUUCACCAUUUUUUUUACUGCUAAAAAUUUGAAAAAUAUAUGAACAAAAAUUAGCACCCUUUUGAAAUUAUUGCAAGUAUCUUUCACUAAUUUAUGAUCCUCGCUUUCAGAAUCUAUAUCUAUCUAGCUUUGAUAAAUUCCUUUUUCUUGUUGAAGGCUGUAAAAUCAACUUUUAAAAACAACCAACUGGCAGGGAUCUAAAUGGAGAUGCUUGCAGGUCCAUUAUGGUUGGGCCAGUGGGAAGCAUCAAACGAAUCUCUUGAUCUUUCUUCCCUUGGUGUUAUUAUUAAUUAUCUGUAUAUGAUGCAAGAACGUAUUCCCAUUAUCACACAAUUCUUCAAUAUGAUUUUAACCUUUUUUUUUUUUUUUAAGCCCUUUAGGAAUAACUUUUUGCUUUGAUUUUAUUCAUAAGGUGAAGAACAAGCUAAAAUCUUAUAUUUUUUAAGGACGAUAUUCGUAAUGAGAUAGAGGAUGGUAAAAUAUAAAAUAGAUUUGCGUAGAGAUUAAAAUAAAGUUUUUAACUAAAGCAAAAAAAGUCUGUUCAAUAACAUUUUUUAAGAUAAUUUUUAAUUAUUUUUAUGAAUUUUUUUUUUUAAGAAUUCAAUUAUAAAAAAAUAAUUUUCUUGAUUUAUUUAUCAUGAAAAUAUUGUACACUUACGUAUAAUGUAAAAAAUUUUAAAUAUUCUUCGUAUUUUUAAUUAUUGAUCAAAAUAUUAUAUAAAAUUCUCCAAAAAAUAUUGUUUUGUAUUAAAAUUUAUAAAUGUUUAACCUAUAAAAUUGCUUUUAAAAACAAUUUUCAAAUAAACUCUAAUAGUUUCUAUCUUCUAAAUUCCUUUUUAAAUUAUAAUUUCUUUUAGCAAAAUUAUUAAAAUAUGUGGAAAACUUUUAUGGAAAAAAAGUCACUUCUCUAAAGUGACUCCAAAUAUGACCUAAGUGCUUUUCUCCUUCACAAAGGCUGCUUGGCUGGUGAAACAAAAGAGGCCAUAAUGGACCAAACGAGCAUGAGAACAAUAAUGGAUCAAACAUGUCUUUAGCAGCUCUUAUGGGCCUGCAAAACCUGGCACAAUUGAAAUUGCGCCCUUUCGGCCCAACUCUACUUGGAUUGAGAAGUCAAUUAUUUAAGGCUUAUUUGGUAAUGAUUUUGGAAAGUAUUUCUAUCUAGACUUGAAAACAACUUUUUUUAUAUAGAAAAAUUCUUUUUAAAAUUACUAUCAAAUAAAUUCUCAGUUAUAUUAAAAAGAAUCACCGGGAAAAGCACACAUUCGUGUAAAUAAAGUGGAAGUUAAGAGGCCCUUGAAAGAAGUUAAAAAGGUUUCUUAUCCCCUCAAAGCUUUUAUAUAUGUAUUAAUUAAGGUUCUAUUUGGUAAUUAUUUAUAUAUAUAUAUUUUUUAAAAUAAAAAAUAGUUUUUUAAUCUUAAAAAUAGAAAAUAGAGUGCUUUCAAAUAACGCGUUUUAGUUGUUUUCACUUAUUUUAUAAAGACUAUUUAAAAAAUAAUUAAAAAUAAAACACUACAUAUAAUAAAAUUUAUUUUAAAAACAAGAAAAUAGAUUAAAAACAUUUUACAUUCUCAAAUAGACUUUUGUUUUCAAAAAAUAGUUUUCAAAAAUUAUUUUUUAAAACUAUUUUUAAAAACAAUUUGUAAAUAGAACCUAAAUAUUUAAUAAAUUUAAAAUAUAUAUUUUUAAAUUUUAGAGAAUUGCUUGAAAUGAUUUUUAGAUAAUCAUUAGUUCAUAAUUUUUGCAAAAUUUACCCUUUUUUUUAUUAUAAUACAUUAUAGAAAACACAAGGGAUUAUCUUUAAAAGCAUUUCUAAUAAAAGUGAAGCUAAUAAAAACACCAUGGUAAAAGGAUUUUAACCAAAAACACUCUCAAACAGCUAGGCUCAAAGGAAUGAGAUCUAGCCAUUCAAUUUUACUUCUUGUCUUUCUUCAAAUAUUUUCUCAGUGCCCAAACAAUUUUGUCAAAGCCAAAGGAUUAAAACGAUCAAAACAAACAUAUUUGCUAGCAAAUAUGUCGUUACUUGAAGGAUGGUUUUUGUGAGAUUGAUCCCAUAUUCAAUAUUCCCAUAAUUUUUCUUGUCAUCAACGUCCAAUUGGCAAUUAGGAGGAGAUCAUUAAGGUCCAUGGCUUGCAAGUUGCAAUUAAUUUGAUGUCCAAAAGAAAUUCUCCCUCAACCAUCUUACAGACUUUCCCUCAAACCAAACAACAAUUGUAAAUGACAAGCUCAACUUUAAUAUAAGAUUUUUAUUUCAUUAGAACAAGCCAGAAAAGAGAUACAUAGAUAUAGGUGCCAAGCCUGUGCUUUCUACUAUUUAAUAGAAGUAACUACCACGGAUCUAACAGCAUAAUGGACUUUCGUAAAUCACACUAGUGCUGCCAUUUUUAGUUCUUCACUGGUGCAGGCUUGCUAGCCGGUGCCUGUCACAAAAACAAUGAGGAAAAUAUCAAUUGAGCUUCAUAAUGUGAAGCAUUACAAUGUAAGAGCUAUAUAUAUAUAUAUAGAUAUAUAUACUAGUACCUUCUUGGGCUCCCGGGGUUUGUGCUCGGCCUUCUUGGGGCCAGGCUUGGAGGCCGGGGUGGGAGGGUUGGGGGGGUUGCCACUAGGCUUGGCAGGCUCCUUCUUGACCUGCCCAGCGGGUUGGGUAGUGAGAGGUUUCUGAGCCUUGAGUGAUGCCAUUCUUCACACUGUCCUCUUCACAAAGAGAAAAUUGAAAUUAAGCUACGUUCCUGGCCUCGAGUGUUUAGCUCCUAACAAAGACAUCCAUUUAUAGUUGAGUUUGGAAAACUCAACGUGGAAUUAGAAUCACUGAACAAGGAAAAAGUAUUGCAGAGAUGAUGGCAUAUGGCAUGUGGGAAUGAAAUAAUUGAAAUGGUGGCCUCUUGAAAGAUGCUGUAUCAGAUGCUGUGGCCAGGCAUAUUAUCUUGUGGAUAUUAUUGAAGCCCUCAGGCCUAUUCUAAAGCAUGCACGCAUGGAUGAUGUUGAGACACGACUGGUGAAAAGUAUAGGCACUUUGGGCUUAAAUUUGAUGCUAUAUAUGGAGAUUUUUUAGGGCCUUCUGUGAAUACCCUCUUGUGUUUUCCCUGUAUAAUCUGAAUAAUCUAAUAUUCCAAUUCCAACCUUCUUCAUUUAUGGGGCAAAUUAAAAACACCAUUUCACUGAGUUUUAUCCGGGUAAGGGUGAAUUUUGAGGGAGCUCAUCAAUACAACAAACUGUAGGGCAACCCAGAAGAGUGCCCAUUUUUUAUUGCUUAUUUCUCCAUCUUGGUUAAAUUUUUACAUGAACUAAGGGCAGAUCCCAUGGAAGGUGUCCCUUGAACUUGAAGUGGAGAAUUGUGUGUUUAGUAAGUAAGAGUGAGACUUAGUUCUUAUGAGUGAGUUUUUUAUUGAUCAUGUGCUCAUUUUACUUGUACAACCAAACACAAUAAUAAAUGAAAACAGAAUGAAUUUCAUAUUCCCAUGCCCCAUUCUAACAUUCAAACAUGCCCUAUAAUUGAAGUGUCCAAUUGCAUAAAAUAAUGCACAAGGGUUGGUGGGAGAUAGAUUCAAUCCAUCAAACUUUAGGACUCUCCCAUCGUCACUGGUUUGAAACAAAUAGAUACAUUAAUGAACUUGAUGUAAGUAUAGCAAUAACCUGGCCCGGAUGAGGUUGAUCUUGUUAAGGAAUCAUCCAGAAUGCAAGAAUCCCUUUUAAUUAAUUGUUGGAUAUUCCUACUUCCAUAAAAAAACAGGGGCUAGGAACACCUUGAGUUUUCUUUCUCUGUCAUAGUUCAGUUUCUUGUUUAUGAUAGACAGGAAAAUUUCUUUGGGAAUAAUUGAUAGAUUGAUCAAGUUGAAAAUUCAAUGUUACUGAAUGACAUAAUUUCAGACGAUUAGAAUCCAAUUUCAUUAAUCUGAAUUGGCUAACAAGGUACUAAAAUCACACUUCUGGUCAUCAAUUCAUGACUACUUGAUCACAUUAGAGAACAUCUUGAUAAGUUUCUUUAGCUUCAGUAAACUUCAGUCACCAGUCUGGGAUUGUUAACUGUCAGUGAUGUUGCCCCAUCCUCAAUGCCGCAUAAGCCAAAGCCCUAUAUCCCACAAACAUUACAGUCAAGGCAGCCACAUCCCAAGCCCAAUGAUCAAUACCCAGAUACUUUAUAGCAGGAAAUUCCCACACCUUGCAAUGCAUCCUCAACCCACACUCAUAAACCUCAUUUUCUGCGUACUGCACUCCCACUAGAAGCUUAUAACAGUAGUGACUAAAGGAGAUGUACUUCAACCAAGCAAUGAAAGGUGGGAUGUGCUGAAUGUAGUAUCCUCCUGCUAAAAGAAACACAAGCAUGGUCACAGAAGCUAAGGCCGUGCCCUGUUUCACGUCCAUUAUAAUGGCACCAAGGGCUAGUCCUAGCCCUUGAGAGACUAGCACAUUGUAUAGGAUGACCAAGAGGGUUAGCACAAAUGUAAGCAGGGAAGGCUUGAGACCACCCAUCCAAUAUGCGAUGGUUACGAAGAUAGUUGGGAGCACAAGUUCCAUAGGCAAGUCACCAGCCAUUCUAGCAAAGUAAUAUGAGGAGAGACGGUACAUGCCCGAUGAGCGUUCUCUUAUUAGCAUUGGCCGCUCCUGAGGGAAUGUGAAUAUGGCAUUGAAUAGAGGAAAGAAGCCCCAGAAUAUGGAGAAGAAAAAGAGAAGUCCCACCUGUCCAUAGUCCAUCACCACCACCACAAGAAGAGGAAUAUAAGAGACUAACUGAGAUAUUCAUCCUUAUUUGAAGGUUAAAUACUGCUAUUAUGAAAGAUGGGCCAGGGUCACAAUACCUGAUCUUGUAUGUGGGAAGUAUCAGAAUGCCACCACAAAAGCCCCGAAAGAAUUGAAACAGACAUGACUUGAAAAAUUCUCAAACCAGAGUAAGAUUCAUGUUUCCUCUCUUGCAAACCCCUUCUUAGCAACACCUUGAAUUGCUCCCACCAGCUGGAGGUCCAUUGAUUCUCACAACCUGCAACGCCCUUACUGAUCAAUACAAACUUCUAUGAAUCCGCUCAAUGCAUUCUUGGACAGCCCAUGAACUUGGUAACAUUCAAUGGGAUGCAGAAAGAGAGAGAGAAGAAAUUUCAGUUACCUCUAGAUGACAAUGGUCCCGAUGCAGACCCAUCUGAACCAUGAGAAUUACGAUGGAUCUCAGCCCUCAUGAUAUGAUAUAGGCUCUUCUUGUAAGAUGAUAUCAGGGCCUGUUUGAUGGAAUUUUGAUCAUCAUGAUGGUCUGGUCUACCAUGAAAGUCCUGUUGAUCAUCCUUUCUCACAUCAGGGGCUACACCUGCAAUUUUGAGUAUGAGGAUGACGUUUGUUCAAUAGGCGAAGGCCCACCACUAAAAAUCAAUCCAACUCCAACAAUUACUUUUUCUAGCCAAGAACAGCUGAAUUGAAAAUUUGAGACAUGCAUAUAAAUGAUUUAGCAGAAACUCAUUGGAUUUGCACGGAUUAAACAGUUCUGAGAUCUCCAGGAUCCAACUAAUAAUUAAGUGGGCAAGGACCCAAGAAAGUAAAGUGAAACAGUCCAAAAAAAUGUUCACUGUGACACUACAGUUAUUAAUAUCGACAAAAAAUACAAAAGAUUUACUUGAAAUCAUUGGCCUCAUCCAAUCUGAUCACCUUUUUUCACCAUAUCUGGCAGAAUCAUCCAAAGUUCAAUGUAUGAAUUGAUAGGCAAAAGAAUUGGAAUUGUUUUUAGAGAAAUGGAAGUAGUUCAGGAUUCUCCACUUUUCUUUUCUUUUUUCUUUUAUUUUUUUCUUUUUCUUUUGUACUAUUUCAAACACAUAUGGAAGGUUCACCCUCUGCAGCACACGUUUCCUAUAAGAUCAAAGAAGCUUCAAGUGACUUGCCAUUCAAAAAAGAUUACUCUUAAAUGAAUAAAGCGUAAAAAGUUUUUCCAACCACUUAAAAGCCACCAGAUUUGUGGGAACAGUGAAUCAUGUCAAAUCAAUUUGACAACAAAGGAAAAGAUUAGUGAUAUUGUUGAAGUCAUUAGAUACAUUGUUGGUAUUUCUGCAUUAUUUCCUUAAGUGAUAACAGUAUUAAAUAAAAGUAAAUCCUUAGAUAUCAAAAAAACUAAGAAAAUUUUUCUUUUCAAAUAUAUAUUAAGAGUUACAAAUGUAACUAAAAGGAUUAGGUAUUAAACCGACAAGCCCAUGUGCAAUAACCAUAGUGUUUAAGACUAGAUCUUCCUAUUAGCCCAUAUGUCUAAUCUUAUCCCUAGACUUGACUUGACUUAGAAGUACCAUUUUUUAUGAUAGACAGCCAUGGAAAUCAGAAAAUGGUUAGCCACUCAAUUGUUUAUCGAAAUAAAAGGAGAACAACGCAUUCCAGCGGCAUUGAUCAAUAAAAACCAUACAUUUUUCACUUUGCUUCUUCAGAACAAUUUAUACCAAUCUAUGAUGAAAAAUCAAAGAGUAAAGAUUAGCAGAAAGAAUUACUCACCAUUAGCGAGAUCAAGUAGAAAAUCAGCAGGGUUCAAUAAGCUAAAUCCAGGCAGGUAACCAAUUGUGCCGAAGUACUCCAGAACAUUAGCAGCAUUUCCACUGUAAAUAGGACACCCUUCUGAGAGCACCACCAGUUUAUCAAACGUCCUAUACAGCCUGCUUGAAGGCUGAUGAAUGGUUGUAAUCACCGUCCGCCCGCCUUGUGCCAGUCCCCGAAGAGUGGCCACUAUGCGGUGAGCGGUGGUUGAGUCGAGCCCUGAAGUGGGCUCGUCCAGCAACAAUAGGCUGGGGUUCACUAGCAUCUCCUGCCCAAUACUCACCCUUUUGCGCUCACCACCCGAUAUCCCCCGGAGGAGAGGACCCCCUAUGACACUGUUCCUGCAUCUUGUUAAGCCAAGCUCCACGAUGAUCAGCUCAGCUUGUUCGAUUUUUUCCUCUCUAGUGAGCUUUUUCGGGAGCCUUAACAAGGCCGCAUAUGUUAAGGUCUCGAGGACGGUCAGGUGAGGGUAGAGUACAUCAUCUUGUGUGACAAACCCCGUCUUCCGCUUCAUGGAGCUUGAAAAUGGCUGCCCGUUAUAGGUUAUGUUACCUGAGACUUUCCCCGGUAAUCGGCCAGCCAGAGCCGUGAGGAGAGUGGUUUUUCCACUGCCUGAUGGACCCAACAUUGCCAGCAGUUCACCUGGUCGAGCUAUUCCGCUCACCCCAUUGAGCACAGUGCGACUUUGCUUGGGCUCAGGUGACCCAAAGCAGCUGCCUUCGGUGCUUCUCAACUUGAUAACAUAAACCACAUCCUCAAACUGUGACACAAGUACAUAAUAUACAUAGAUAUUAAUCGCAUGGUUAAAAUUGAGUAAAUUAUAUUCUAAUACAUGUAUAGUUGUCUGAUCAUAUAAUUGCAUGCUGGAAUUAAUACCUUGAGUGUCACAGGACGUAAUGAUUCACGUAGAAUCGAAAAUUGAGGUCUGGUUGUUUGCUGUCCGUCAGGUGUUUGAUCCUCUAAACACGGGCUCACAUUACUCGCUGGCUCUGCAGCAUGAAUUGUGACAUUCUCGAUCCGGUUCGCCCCCAGAACAUUAGCUGGGUCACCGGUGAUCCUGGUCUCCUGCUCAGGUGGCAUCAUUUGAAGAACUUAAUCCAACAAGAGAGAAGCAAUAAAGGAACAGGGAGAUGAAGAUGGAGAAGAGAGGAGAAAAGAUGUUAGCAAGGAAGGAGAAGCAUUAAUAGCAGGAAAAAUAGAGAAGAUUUGAGGGUCACAUGCAGAGAGAGGCAAUAUGAGCUUUAAAGUGAAGAAGGCACGAGAAGCAGACUUGGGUGUGAGUCAUGAUAUAGGGGUUGGGUCUGGGCCUCCUGGGGGUCUAAGGGAGAUGUAUGGAUGUGCUACAAUGUCUCUUUCUACCUCUCGUGUACGCGUGUUUUGGACAUCACUUACGGUCCUUCCUGUAUUUUCGGACCCACUUAGUGGAUGCUGCUUAGUAUUUCCAGGACAUUGCUCCAUUAUCUUAACCAUUUCAUCUAUAUGUACACCAUCUUCAAAAUUAAUUAAGCUUCAAACAAUAUUAAAUACUAAAAGUUCAAUUUUAGUACAUUAUUAACAGAAUCAAUGGAUAUUUAUCUUUCUGCUUUUCUCAGUGCUAACAUAUAUAUAUAUAUAUAUAUAUAUAGAUAGAUAGAUAGAUAGAUAAAUAUAUAAUUUGAUUUGACGAGAAUUGAAGGCAAUUAUAUAAGCAGAAUUCAGAGAAUUCAUGUUCAAUGGUGCGCAUAUUGCCAACCUGCAAAAAUCUCUAUUGAAAUAUAUUAUAUACACAACUGGGCAUCCUCAUGCUGGACCCAAUAGUACUUACUAUAAUUGGCUUUGCUAUAUUCCUAACAUAUGUAUUUUAUGGUUAUAAGUUUGGAAAGAAAAUAUACACUAGUUCAAGGUGCCAUGUUCUUCCAGAGACAAAGUAAUUCAAAAGAAUACGAAUAAUUUCUAGUUGGAAUUGAUAUAUAUAUAUAUAUAUAUAUUUUUACUCAUUCCCAAUCUCAGAUCUGGCAGAUAGCAUAUGGGCAGUAAUUUGAUUGUAUAAAUUCAUCAAUUUAUUAUAUCUCCGAUGAGGAAUAUUCACUUCUACUUGUGGGUAUGGUAAUCCAUGAAUCACCCUAAUCUCUCAUUAAAAUAUAUGCAUUAGCCUUGUUUUUUAAGAGAUUUUUUGUUACACGAGUCUCUGA